This 253-nucleotide ribosomal RNA is filed under the name uncultured bacterium. RNAcentral describes it as "partial 16S ribosomal RNA". It matches the Rfam family "Bacterial small subunit ribosomal RNA", at positions 524 to 776 of the family's 1533-position model. The record is from RNAcentral.
GACGUAGGGCGCGAGCGUUGUCCGGAUUUAUUGGGCGUAAAGGGCGCGUAGGCGGCCUGUUAAGUCGAACGUGAAAUCCCCGGGCUCAACCCGGGAACUGCGUCCGAUACUGGCAGGCUUGAAUCCGGGAGAGGGAUGUGGAAUUCCAGGUGUAGCGGUGAAAUGCGUAGAUAUCUGGAGGAACACCGGUGGCGAAGGCGGCAUCCUGGACCGGUAUUGACGCUGAGGCGCGAAAGCCAGGGGAGCAAACGGG